UUGUACAAGUCACCUGUGUAUUGUUCUCUCUAUCUUGCUGGCUAUUUGCGAUUGGGUUUGCACUCCCCCUUUCUUG
RNAcentral lists this non-coding RNA (76 nucleotides) under uncultured eukaryote. The record is from RNAcentral.